GAACACAGCAAGGGAGAUACUGAAGAAAGCACCUGGAGUUUAUAUAAUAGACGACCGUGCUUCAAAUACUUUCCCUACUCCACUAGAUGUCUCUAACAAAGACGAUGUAGCGGUUGGUAGGAUAAGGCGAGACGUGUCUCAAGAUGGCGAUUUCGGGCUGGACAUAUUCGUUUGCGGAGACCAAAUACGGAAAGGAGCUGCUCUGAAUGCUGUUCAGAUUGCA
Arabidopsis lyrata subsp. lyrata is the source of this 223-nucleotide long non-coding RNA. RefSeq lists it as uncharacterized. The transcript is spliced from 2 exons. The record is from RefSeq and is a predicted model, not a curated record. NCBI's taxonomy places the organism in Eukaryota, Viridiplantae, Streptophyta, Magnoliopsida, Brassicales, Brassicaceae.